Molecule: non-coding RNA, 90 nt
Organism: Hortaea werneckii EXF-2000
Lineage: Eukaryota; Fungi; Ascomycota; Dothideomycetes; Mycosphaerellales; Teratosphaeriaceae
Source: Rfam
UGUUGUGAUGAAUCGGCACUGGGCUCCGACAACAUUACAUGAGCCGAUAUGCCACUUUGCGACAGGCCUAGAAAACCUCGUCCACUGAUC